This 452-nucleotide ribosomal RNA is filed under the name uncultured Flavobacterium sp. RNAcentral describes it as "bacterial SSU rRNA". It matches the Rfam family "Bacterial small subunit ribosomal RNA", at positions 342 to 791 of the family's 1533-position model. Lineage: Bacteria; Pseudomonadati; Bacteroidota; Flavobacteriia; Flavobacteriales; Flavobacteriaceae. The record is from RNAcentral.
CGGGGGGCAGCAGUGAGGAAUAUUGGACAAUGGGCGCAAGCCUGAUCCAGCCAUGCCGCGUGCAGGAAGACGGUCCUAUGGAUUGUAAACUGCUUUUAUACAGGAAGAAACACUCCCUCGUGAGGGAGCUUGACGGUACUGUAGGAAUAAGGAUCGGCUAACUCCGUGCCAGCAGCCGCGGUAAUACGGAGGAUCCAAGCGUUAUCCGGAAUCAUUGGGUUUAAAGGGUCCGUAGGCGGUUUAAUAAGUCAGUGGUGAAAUCUGGUCGCUCAACGAUCAAACGGCCAUUGAUACUGUUAGACUUGAAUUAUUAGGAAGUAACUAGAAUAUGUAGUGUAGCGGUGAAAUGCUUAGAUAUUACAUGGAAUACCAAUUGCGAAGGCAGGUUACUACUAAUGGAUUGACGCUGAUGGACGAAAGCGUGGGGAGCGAACAGGAUUAGAUACCCGCGU